This 262-nucleotide ribosomal RNA is filed under the name uncultured Actinomycetales bacterium. RNAcentral describes it as "partial 16S ribosomal RNA". It matches the Rfam family "Bacterial small subunit ribosomal RNA", at positions 524 to 784 of the family's 1533-position model. Lineage: Bacteria; Bacillati; Actinomycetota; Actinomycetes; Actinomycetales. The record is from RNAcentral.
UACGUAGGGUGCGAGCGUUGUCCGGAAUUACUGGGCGUAAAGGGCUCGUAGGUGGUUUGUCGCGUCGUCUGUGAAAUUCCGGGGCUUAACUCCGGGCGUGCGGGCGAUACGGGCAUAACUUGAGUACUGUAGGGGUAACUGGAAUUCCUGGUGUAGCGGUGAAAUGCGCAGAUAUCAGGAGGAACACCGAUGGCGAAGGCAGGUUACUGGGCAGUUACUGACGCUGAGGAGCGAAAGCAUGGGUAGCAAACAGGAUUAGAUA